This is a long non-coding RNA of Equus asinus (donkey), 2084 nucleotides long. NCBI's taxonomy places the organism in Eukaryota, Metazoa, Chordata, Mammalia, Perissodactyla, Equidae. The record is from Ensembl.
CUGCUAUGUCAUAAGGACACUCAGGCAACCCCAUGGAGAGGCCCGUGGGAUGAGGAACUGAGGCCUCCAGCCAACAGUCCUGUGAGUGAGUCCUCUAGGAAGCGGAUCCUUCAGCUGUAGUCAAACCUUCAGGUGCCUGCAGACCUGGCUGACAUCUGGACUUCAUCCCUCGGAGAGACCCUAAGCCAGCACCAGUGUUCCCAGAUUCUUGACCCACAAAAAGUGUGAAAUUUAGACUACCUGGAAGGCUGGUACCUGCCAACGAAGGGCAUUCUGUUGCAAGAAGCCUAGCUUGCCUCCUGGAAGUUGACAAACCAUGUGGAACAGAGCCAAUACUGCCAGCUGAGGCCAAUUUACAUCAGCUAACUGGCAGCUUCUCAUCAUGCAAUUGAGCCCCAGUCAAGACCAGAAGAGCUGCCCAACUAAGCUGAGCGAGACUGGCAGAACUUCUCAACUCAUAAACUCACAAAUUUAGGGGUAGUUGUGACACAGAAUUAUGGCAUUAUUAUAUGUGCUGUAUUUAUUGUACUGCAUUAUACAGAUGGCAAUCAAGGAGAUGGUGAAAAGUCAGUGGAUUCUGAGUAUCUACAGAUAGAAGAACCAAUUGGCUGAGUGAGAGAAGUUGCGUGACUCCAAGGUUCUGCCCUGGACCACUAGAAAAAUGAAUAUGGAUAAUAGAGGUGGAUAUUGAAUCCAAAUUGAAUCUUUGGUCAAUAUAUUGUGACACAUUCAAAUGGAAAUCAUAACAUAAAAAUUGUCCCGAAUGUAUAUAGUUUUGUAAAGUAGUUCUGCUCUUCCUGAAGGGAAAAUUAAAAAAUAAGCAUGGCUUUGGCUAGAGACACAGAGAAAUAGAAAACCUGCUUCUCAUAGUCACUCUGCUAGAGGAAAUAUAUCAAAGUCAUGCAGCCCAAUUGUUUUAUUUAAUAACCAGAAUUUGGAUAAAUAUUUCUCCAUCACUUGUGGAACUGGACUCUGGUAGAUGCUGACCCUUUACCUGACUAGUGCAUGCCCCCCAGCUGCUGUGACUGCUACUGCUAAUAGCUCGCAGUUGCCCCUUCUGAGCACUGCCUUGAGCCAGUGGGGCCCGCAUCCCAGGAGAUUCCCCGGGAGGAUGCAAUCCACCACUCAUGCAUCAAAUGAGCAGUGCAGGGUUAACAGCUGGUGCCAUUCACACUCCAGAGCUCCUCCUGUGAUCAGGCUGAGGCUAGAUUUCAGUUACAUCCCUGUGGCUGCUUAGCUCCCUUCCCUGGCGCUCUUCUGCUUUCCUCAGUCUCUUACAGGUCUCCCCUGAGAGCAUUCCCUCAAUAAAUCGCUUGAACAAGAAUCUCUGUUUCGUGCUUUGUUUCAAGGGAAACUGAAAUAAGACACAAGGCAUCAGUCAAAUUGCCAAGUACUCCUAGGCUAUUGCUAUCAUAGGAAGACAAGUAUUUUUAUUAUUUUUUACGUUCAGACAACUGACUUUAUUGUCAGGACACAUGAGCAUAUCAUCAGUCUCAUGGACAUGUUGAAGAAACAUGCAAUGCGAUGUUUUCUAUGUUUAAUUGAAUGAUACCAGAGAAAGAAACCAUCUUUACAGUUUUCUGAAAAUAGAUUUUAUUUAUCAAGGCAAGAAUUGUUAGCAGAAAUCUUAGAAUGUUUAUUACAUCGUAAAUUGUUAGUAACUUGGACUGAUGGAGAAAGUUAACCUGAAUUAACGGUAAAGAAAUGCAAGUAUUAAAUGUCCCUAGCUUGGUGGCUUUUUACCAAAAUAUUCACUUCAUCUUUGGAAAGCAUCAUGUUAGCAGCCUUUUGUACCUAUAUGGUAAUUUGCACAUUGAUUUUUUAUAAAAUGAUUGAUGUGAAAUUUGGAAAAAAAGAAAAUGAGUAUUAAAUAUACAGAAAAGGAUUAAUUUGAAGAAGACUUACAUGUAAAUAUCAUUUUAACCAACUCCAUGGGACUCCUAAGUUCUUUAAACUGUAUUUUGUUUAAUUUGUUUUAUCAACAAUUGUUUGCUAAAAAUAUAUCACUAGAGAGAAUAUACUGUUAUGAUUAUAAAUGUUGUGUUGAAUUUGACCUGUAGCUGCAUCUAUGUAUAAAAAUGUUA